GUAAGUAUGUACUUGUUGCUGUCUCCUAUCGAUAGAAUUAUUAUUUUUUUUUCUAUAGAUAGAAAAAUGUGAGUUGUUUUUUGUUUUUUUACGACAGUGUUGUGAAAUAUACUCCUCACAGCAGUAGGGGGAGCUCGCUGAGAAAACAUGCGACAACAAAAGUGAAAAUCAACGAAGAAAUGGCUCGAAAUGCUAACACCAGAUGACCUCAGAACAGAUGAUCCAGUGGCGUUGCAACAUCUGAUUGAAGGCCUAUUCUUGGGCAUCCAGCAGAAAAAGAGGAAUCUAUAUCGAGUAACCGACCGUAACAAACAGCGACACAAGAUCCGAAGAUGGAUUAGAGAGGAUAAGAAAAAGCUGUUUAAUGCCAUAUCCCAAUACAAUGAUCUUCCAACCACCACAGAAUCUGUAGAUUCAGUUGAAGACCUUCUGGCAACAGAAAGCCCUAUCUGGCCUUGGGAUUCUGAACCUGACACUUCCUUAGGCAUGAAGAAGAAGGUUUUUGACAAGGUGAUGUAGCUGGAGAGACUGAUUGAGGAAGAGGCUAUAAUUUUAGAGGAAAUGAAACAACAUUGGACUCAUCUUACAAGAACCUGCAGGGCCUUGAAGGACCAGGCUAAUGUACUAUCAGAUGACCUGGCCACACAGAACCUGGAGUUCGGGGUUAGAGGUUAUUUCCUGUAUAGAAGAAAGGAAGCUGACAGUAUGUGUGCACAUGUAAUCCAUCUGUUGUUAGCACUAGAAGCAAUGUCUUUUCACUCUGUCAUGUAAGAUGAUGUUGAAAGCCACAGUAAACAGCAAGAAAUCGCUCACUACGACUUGUCGUCAUUUUGCAUCAGAGUUAGCUGGCUGUAUAGCUACAGUUGCUACACUGCAACUACCCUUCAGGACUGUCUGGUCAAGCUUACCAUGGCCUGCACAGUGCUGUCCUCCAAAAAUGUGAGGAGCUCAAAACAGACCUGGUACCUGUGAAAGAAACCUACUCCCAAAUAGUGGUAAAUGGGAAUGGUGGAACUGUUGUUGAAGAAGAUGAAGACCCAUAUGAGCAUGUCUCCACAGAUGCCUCUACAGAUGAUGAAUUAUAGAUUCUCUCUUCUCCACUGCACAAACUGGUCUCCUGACUCUGAGUAGCUCAAGUUAGCUCUCCCCAUUGUAAAUAAUAAAAACUUGAACCUGAA
Molecule: long non-coding RNA, 1178 nt
Organism: Cyprinus carpio carpio
Lineage: Eukaryota; Metazoa; Chordata; Actinopteri; Cypriniformes; Cyprinidae
Source: Ensembl